This 467-nucleotide ribosomal RNA is filed under the name uncultured bacterium. RNAcentral describes it as "partial 16S ribosomal RNA". It matches the Rfam family "Bacterial small subunit ribosomal RNA", at positions 28 to 507 of the family's 1533-position model. The record is from RNAcentral.
GACGAACGCUGGCGGCGUGCUUAACACAUGCAAGUCGAACGGAAAGGCCCUGCUUUUGUGGGGUGCUCGAGUGGCGAACGGGUGAGUAACACGUGAGUAACCUGCCCUUGACUUUGGGAUAACUUCAGGAAACUGGGGCUAAUACCGGAUAGGAGCUCCUGCUGCAUGGUGGGGGUUGGAAAGUUUCGGCGGUUGGGGAUGGACUCGCGGCUUAUCAGCUUGUUGGUGGGGUAGUGGCUUACCAAGGCUUUGACGGGUAGCCGGCCUGAGAGGGUGACCGGCCACAUUGGGACUGAGAUACGGCCCAGACUCCUACGGGAGGCAGCAGUGGGGAAUAUUGCACAAUGGGCGGAAGCCUGAUGCAGCAACGCCGCGUGCGGGAUGACGGCCUUCGGGUGGUAAACCGCUUUCGCCUGUGACGAAGCGUGAGUGACGGUAAUGGGUAAAGAAGCCCGGCUAACUACGUG